CCGCAAGGGGAGCGGCGGACGGGUGAGUAACGCGUGGGAACGUACCCCUUUCUACGGAAUAGCCUCGGGAAACUGGGAGUAAUACCGUAUAAGCCCUACGGGGGAAAGAUUUAUCGGGAAGGGAUCGGCCCGCGUUGGAUUAGGUAGUUGGUGGGGUAAUGGCCUACCAAGCCGACGAUCCAUAGCUGGUUUGAGAGGAUGAUCAGCCACACUGGGACUGAGACACGGCCCAGACUCCUACGGGAGGCAGCAGUGGGGAAUCUUAGACAAUGGGCGCAAGCCUGAUCUAGCCAUGCCGCGUGAGCGAUGAAGGCCUUAGGG
This 321-nucleotide ribosomal RNA is filed under the name uncultured bacterium. RNAcentral's name for it is "bacterial SSU rRNA". It matches the Rfam family "Bacterial small subunit ribosomal RNA", at positions 84 to 422 of the family's 1533-position model. The record is from RNAcentral.